Molecule: ribosomal RNA, 102 nt
Filed under: Limnodrilus hoffmeisteri complex sp. II
Lineage: Eukaryota; Metazoa; Annelida; Clitellata; Tubificida; Naididae
Description: partial 5.8S ribosomal RNA
Rfam family: 5.8S ribosomal RNA
About the family: 5.8S ribosomal RNA (5.8S rRNA) is a component of the large subunit of the eukaryotic ribosome. It is transcribed by RNA polymerase I as part of the 45S precursor that also contains 18S and 28S rRNA. Functionally, it is thought that 5.8S rRNA may be involved in ribosome translocation.
Source: RNAcentral
GCUGCGUGAAUUAAUGUGAAUUGCAGCACACAUUGAACAUCGAUAUCUUGAACGCACAKUGCGGCCUCGGGCAAUCCCGAGGCCACGCCUGUCUCAGGGUCG